Long non-coding RNA from Pipistrellus kuhlii (Kuhl's pipistrelle), 2577 nucleotides. RefSeq lists it as uncharacterized. The transcript is spliced from 3 exons. Lineage: Eukaryota; Metazoa; Chordata; Mammalia; Chiroptera; Vespertilionidae. The record is from RefSeq and is a predicted model, not a curated record.
AAAUACACCAAGGUUGUGAGUUUGAUCCCUUGUUGGGGCAUAUACAAAAACAACCAAUGAAUGUAUAGAUAGGUGGAACAACAAAAUAAGUUUUUCCCUCUAAAAUCAAUAACAAAAAAGUAGAACCCAGGUUGUUGACAUUUAAGAUCUACUACAUAAGAACUGCGACUAGUAUCUUUUAGGGAAAAUGAGAAAGUAAAUGCCCCAGACAUAAGUUUAUCUCCCAUUUGGCGAAGACUACAAAUACGUUGUGUUCUUUCCCCACACAUUUCCCAAGGAAAUAAAACAGCCAUAUGAAACAAAGGCCAUAUGGUGAAACAAAAGUUCCAUAACUAUUUAAAGCAGGUUUUUAAAAAAUAAGUUGGAGUUCAUCCUGCAAUUUGCUCUACCUUCACAUUAUACUUGGUAUUUUUUCUACCCUCUAAAAAUUUCAAGGUUUCUGGGGUUUGUGUUGGUAAUUUACAGCUGAAAGGAUUUAAUAGCUCUUCUCCCUCUCCACCCCUUAUGGAUAUCAGUUUGUUUCCACAUAGCUUGUAUAGAAAGCUAUAAAGCAGUUAAGACAGAAACAUUGGACUGAAAAAAAAAUAUUAAAGUUAAGAGUGAUUUUCAAGCCCUUUUGAUCCAUAUGGGGCGCAGUAGGCCAAUAUCUAAAUUAGCACAUCAGUAUUUGUCAACUACCAAGGCAUUGGGAGAGGCACCUCGCACAGACACCAGAGUGGUGUUACUGGACAGCGCCCUGAGUUAUUGGAAGAGGGCUGUCCAAACCUUGAUCCUAUCUUCUCUCAUAAAUGAAUUUAUACAAGAGACCAUUGUGUUAUAAAAGCCAAUUAAAAUAAUUCAAGCAUGCAACUUUAUUUUAAAAAAGCAAAGAAAGCAAACCUAUACAUCUGGUUUAUGAAGUGCAGAUGGGCUCUCAGCUAAUCAAGAGUUGGUUUGGGAUCUGAGGUGUUAUCUACCCUCCUAUCUAUAGGGUUCAAAAUUUCUUUGCUGAGUAUUUUGAUAAAGAUUAAUUCCCAAGGUCCCUUUUUUGUUGUAGCCUUCCCAGAAUUCAUGAGAAGCACCUGGCAACUUUAUCUUGUCGAGCCUUGAGACUGUUGGCUUCUCUGCAAAGAAAUAAAACCCCUGUUUUUCUUUUCCCCCUUCCUUUCUGCAUUCUCUCCUCUGGGAGGUUUUUAACCAUUUGUUCUCAAGUUUUCUUGGCUGGAUAAGAUAGGCUUGUUAGUUAUAAACUGGCUGUAAAUUGGCCACACUUGCCUUAUUUUAACCUCUGUUAACCUACUCCUCCUGCUCUGGAAUUGUAAUACAGUAUAAGGACCUUAUUGCCAUUCUAAAUGUCAAGGAUUUCUGAAUUCUGCAUUACACUUGGUCCCAAGGGUUUAGGAUAAGAGAUUGUCCACCUAUAGUUGCUUCCUUUUCAAAAUAGUCAUCUGGGUGAUUUGGUACUAAAAGCAUAAACACUGGCAAUGUGCCUUAAACUUUACAGAACCUUAAUUUUCAGUAUUAUUUUUUAACUUGUAGUUCUUAUGCAGGCUACCUGACACAAUUUUAUAUUUUGAAAAUAAUUGUGGACAUACUGCAUCAUUAAUACUUGACCUGGAAGAGUAGAACCAGUGACUAAUUGUGGGCCAAUGAGAGAAAAGCCACCUCUAAAAUUCACAGUGAUCUUCGAAAGCUGAUUGCCAUGUCUAGGACAACUUGAUCCUACCUUCUAACUCCCUGUCAGCACAAAGUUGCAAAAUGACUGGCUCAUAAACCAGUAAGUUGUCUUUGGUGGCCAGAUGUUACCUUUGCCUGGAGUUAAUAAUACACUCUUCUGCCUGGCACUUACACAGUAGAUAUGCAGAAAAUAGUUUGUAAACAAGUUGCAAGUUGUUAAAUUAUAAAACUAAUGGAUUGUUUAGUCCUGUAACACUUAAGUUUAUUUUCUAAAGGAAGCCUGCAAAAUUACUCCAGAAUGACUGUGUUGGUGACAGUAAUUACUGUUUUCCUUUGGGAUCUGAUUCUUUAUGUAAAAAUUUUUAAGAUGCAGGUUUGUCAAUGGUUGUUCCAUCCUUAAUUUCUUUAAAACACACACACACACACACACACACUUCGCAAUUAGAUAAAGUAUUUUUAGAUAAAUUACCUCCAUUUGGUCUGUUCUGUCACCCAGUAAGGUUUGUUUUUUUUGUUUUUUUAAUCAUCAGCCACAGUUCUAUGAAGGGAUAUUAAAGGGUCUCCUGUUGUACAUUAUAGCACUAAUGUUCAUAAUAGAACAUUAAGAUAGGUUGAAGGUUUCUAUCAUCAGCCUACACUCAGUCUUGCCCUACCUCUGCCUCAUAUUUCCCACUUGUUUAUAUAUCAUUAACUAUAUUGCGAGUACAUAGUACAUUGUUAAAUUCCUUUGAGAGCAGGUACUAUAACAUAUUUUCAUAUUUCCUAUGUUUAAAACACUUGUUUCUUCAGCAGAUAUUCAUUGAAUAUCCACUAGGUGUCAGAUAUACGAGGCAGAUGCUGGGGACAUCAAGAUAACUAAGCACAGACAUGCCCUUAGGAGGCUAACAGUUGGGGUGGGGGGUGGGGAAUAGAUCUGUAAGC